Talpa occidentalis (Iberian mole) is the source of this 1254-nucleotide long non-coding RNA. RefSeq lists it as uncharacterized. The record is from RefSeq and is a predicted model, not a curated record. Lineage: Eukaryota; Metazoa; Chordata; Mammalia; Eulipotyphla; Talpidae. The transcript is spliced from 4 exons.
CUGCCACCCGCCGUCACUGCCGGCCUUGGCCUGCCACCUGUGCCCCAGUGGGGCCUCUGGUGGUGGGUGCUAAAAUGCCCACCUGCACUGCCCACAAGCAGCUUCUCAGGCCAAGUGCAGAGCCCCGAGGAGGGGAGGGGAACCCUGACUCCACCUUUGUAGGGUAGAAGCCAUAUCCUACACAUGAGAAUUCCAGACUUGCCUCUGAGAAGGUGGAUGACUAUGAACAUGUGGCAAAGUACAUGAAGAACACUCAAGUAAAGUUACCCUUGGGAACCUUAAGUAAAUCAGAAUGGGAAGCUACCAGUAUUUACGUGGUGUUUGCAUUUGAGAAGCAGCCGUAAGCACGUGUGCAGUAGCAUCAGAACAGCUGUUGCAUCCUUACGCAGUUGUGGAUGAUCCAUCUGAGAUAGACUGGACAACUUUCCGUUUGCUGCUUUUCAUUUCUAAAUGUGCAGAAUGCUGCCUGGAAACUCCAGCGGAUAAAUUUGACCCUGCCGUCUGUGACAGAUGAACAUUUGUGUGUGUGUGUGUGUGUGUGUGUGUGCGCGCGUGUGUAUGAGUGGGGACCUUUACAAAUCUUACUUGUACGUAAUGUCCUCAGGAGUCCAUUUGCCUGUACUGUCUUAGCUCAUCAAAAUUGUAAUAGUACAUGUAAGAGCUGCUGACAUCGUUCCACGGUGCUCUGAUUUCCUCACUGUUUCUUUACGGUAUUAAAGUUAUUGCAGUGGUGGAAUUGAUGAGGGAACACACUGGUUUGGGUGUGGGUGGGGUGCGGUGUGACCAUUUCUGUAUUUUUGUUAUUAUAUAUAAUGUUUUUCGAGAUCAAGUGGAUAGCAUUCUGUGCAGGCUAAUGUACGUCUUCAAUAUGUGUUGCUGAGUUGUGGUUAAAACAAUUUUGGGCUGUCAUAAAAGUCACUUACCUUGGAAUUUCAGCCAGUUGUGACUAGUCAUUAUAAAUAGCAACUGCCUUAUUUGCUGGUAUGAUGCAAUUCUGGAACUAAAUAGAACUUUUUAGAUCACAGCAUAUAAUCUUGUGGGUUGGGGGGUGGGGGGGGCGCGAGAAGGGCUUCUCUCAUACGAUAUCCCAAAAGAUUUAUAUUUCCAAGUGUGAAGACUGAUUUGUGUUACUUAUCUUCAUUGAACAAAACUGCUGUACUUCUCCUCGAUGUUAGAUCCAGGUUCCUGAUGCUACGUCCUUCUAGAUCCGUUGCCCCAUGCAGCCCAGAAAGAAGCCCUGCCUGUCCCUCUGUU